AACGCGAAGAACCUUACCAGGACUUGACAUGCACCGGAAAACGGCGGAAACGUCGUCCUCCCGCAAGGGACCGGUGUGCAGGUGUUGCAUGGCUGUCGUCAGCUCGUGUCGUGAGAUGUUGGGUUAAGUCCCGCAACGAGCGCAACCCCCGUGGCAUGUUGUACCACUCAUGCCAGACUGCCGAGAGAAACUCGGAGGAAGGUGGGGACGACGUCAAGUCAGCAUGGCCCUUACGUCCUGGGCUACACACACGCUACAAUGGCCGGUACAACGGGUUGCCAAACCGCGAGGUGGAGCUAAUCCCAUAAAGCCGGUCUCAGUUCGGAUUGCAGGCUGAAACUCGCCUGCAUGAAGCCGGAGUUGCUAGUAACCGCAGGUCAGCACACUGCGGUGAAUAUGUUCCCGGGCCUUGUACACACCG
This 421-nucleotide ribosomal RNA is filed under the name uncultured bacterium. Its description in RNAcentral is "bacterial SSU rRNA". It matches the Rfam family "Bacterial small subunit ribosomal RNA", at positions 958 to 1392 of the family's 1533-position model. The record is from RNAcentral.